This 253-nucleotide ribosomal RNA is filed under the name uncultured bacterium. RNAcentral's name for it is "partial 16S ribosomal RNA". It matches the Rfam family "Bacterial small subunit ribosomal RNA", at positions 524 to 776 of the family's 1533-position model. The record is from RNAcentral.
UACGGGGGGGGUAAGCGUUGUUCGGAAUUACUGGGCGUAAAGGGCUCGUAGGCGGCCAACUAAGUCAUACGUGAAAUCCCUCAGCUUAACUGGGGAACUGCGUGUGAUACUGGAUGGCUUGGAUUUGGGAGAGGGAUGCGGAAUUCCAGGUGUAGCGGUGAAAUGCGUAGAUAUCUGGAGGAACACCGGAGGCGAAGGCGAAUCACUGGACCGCUUCUGACGCUGAGGCGCGAAAGCUAGGGGAGCAAACAGG